This 497-nucleotide ribosomal RNA is filed under the name uncultured bacterium. RNAcentral describes it as "partial 16S ribosomal RNA". It matches the Rfam family "Bacterial small subunit ribosomal RNA", at positions 28 to 507 of the family's 1533-position model. The record is from RNAcentral.
GAUGAACGCUGGCGGCGUGCCUAAUACAUGCCAGUCGAGCGAACGGACGAGGAGCUUGCUUUUCUGAUGUUAGCGGCGGACGGGUGAGUAACACGUGGAUAACCUACCUAUAAGACUGGGAUAACUUCGGGAAACCGGAGCUAAUACCGGAUAAUAUUUUGAACCGCAUGGUUCAAAAGUGAAAGACGGUCUUGCUGUCACUUAUAGAUGGAUCCGCGCUGCAUUAGCUAGUUGGUAAGGUAACGGCUUACCAAGGCAACGAUGCAUAGCCGACCUGAGAGGGUGAUCGGCCACACUGGAACUGAGACACGGUCCAGACUCCUACGGGAGGCAGCAGUAGGGAAUCUUCCGCAAUGGGCGAAAGCCUGACGGAGCAACGCCGCGUGAGUGAUGAAGGUCUUCGGAUCGUAAAACUCUGUUAUUAGGGAAGAACAUAUGUGUAAGUAACUGUGCACAUCUUGACGGUACCUAAUCAGAAAGCCACGGCUAACUACGUG